This 253-nucleotide ribosomal RNA is filed under the name uncultured bacterium. Its description in RNAcentral is "partial 16S ribosomal RNA". It matches the Rfam family "Bacterial small subunit ribosomal RNA", at positions 524 to 776 of the family's 1533-position model. The record is from RNAcentral.
UACGGAGGGGGCUAGCGUUGUUCGGAAUUACUGGGCGUAAAGCGCACGUAGGCGGCUUUGUAAGCUAGAGGUGAAAGCCCGGGGCUCAACUCCGGAAUUGCCUUUAAGACUGCAUCGCUAGAAUUGUGGAGAGGUAAGUGGAAUUCCGAGUGUAGAGGUGAAAUUCGUAGAUAUUCGGAAGAACACCAGUGGCGAAGGCGGGUCUCUGGGCCGAUAUUGACGCUGAGGAGCGAAAGCGUGGGGAGCGAACAGG